AAUGCCUCCCUGUUGCAGACCCUGCUGUGUGUUAGAGCUGUGGGGAGAGUGGAAAUGGACUGGGAUUACUGCCUUGAAUGUAGAAUGUGUCACUUGACUCCACACCAGCGAACCCAGGUGGUCAGAAGUAAAACCGCUUAGCAGUGGACACAAGGGAAAAGUCUUCUCAUGAAGUGGCUGAUUUGACAUCGAAGAGAGAUUUAUGACUGAAGCAAAACAGAGCCUGCUGACACUCCUGGCUGCUUUAGGGCUGCCUACGUAGGUUGCCUGCCCAGGGCAACCUCCUUCCUCUUAGAACUGGGGGUUCUUUCACUUACCACCACCUCCAGGGCCACAAGAGGGUGCUUUCCUCCUUUCAGGUUCUGCCUGUUAGAAAUGUAGCUCUUCAGACUUCUUAGAGGAAUUCAGUCAUGCAGCUUGAAGAAUGAUCUUAAGGGUGGUACUUUACACUCGACCUUCAAUGAUUUCAGAGACUUGGAGAAAGGGGAACAGGUCCUAUAUUUGAACCACGAUGUCAUGCAAUUAUGUACAGCACAGGCACAUGCAUGGCUGGGAAGUGUCUAUGGGUUGAUUCCUUUGUGAAUUAUAUGGAGCUGACACGGCCGAAACCCACAAUGACCCAGACGAGGACAGAAGCUUGCUUGUCCUGAAAGAGUGGCUUCCGCCCGUAUGUCUUGACAUCACAGGUACUCUGUUCCUACUCUGCUUCAUCCACCCAGCCUCAGGACCACCUGUUACCUUCCUGGACCACUGACUUUCUCCUGAAAGAGAGGACACAAGUGACCCCUGAUCUUUCUUGUUCUCCAUACUCCACAUAUUGUCACCCCCAAACUUGAUCCAAGCUGAGUGCUUGGACACUGCUUGGAAUGAAUGGCCCCUAACCAGAAGGGAGAUUUAGAAACAAAUACAACUCUCCAGUGGAAGUUGAGGAAUGGCAUUGUAUUUGGGGCCCACCUACCUUUUUGUCUCCUCCAUCAUUGUGAUCCAGAAGUCUGCUUCUGCCAGCCCUGCUUCAGCCUCCUUCACAAUUGCAAGGAAAACAGUCUAUGGAGGGGAAAAAACAUCCCAGCUAUGGGACAUAGCCUGAAGAUAGGAAUAGAAGUGAAACCA
Physeter macrocephalus (sperm whale) is the source of this 1110-nucleotide long non-coding RNA. RefSeq lists it as uncharacterized. Lineage: Eukaryota; Metazoa; Chordata; Mammalia; Artiodactyla; Physeteridae. The transcript is spliced from 4 exons. The record is from RefSeq and is a predicted model, not a curated record.